GUUUAUGUUAAACGGCAAAUUCUCCCUGCACCAGUGAUCAAAUUUGAAUACAGACGUGGAGAAUGUGCUAAUUUCCUUUUUUUUUUUUUUUUUUUUUUUUUUUUUUUUGUCGACGAUCUCUUUCAGGUUCUGCUGAAGGCACGUCUGCUCUUUCAGGUUCUGCUGAAGUGCACGUCUGCUCUUUCAGGUUCUGCUGAAGUGCACGUCUGCUCUUUCAGGUUCUGCUGAAGUGCACGUCUGCUCUUUCAGGUUCUGCUGAAGUGCACGUCUGCUCUUUCAGGUUCUGCUGAAGUGCACGUCUGCUCUUUCAGGUUCUGCUGAAGUGCACGUCUGCUCUUUCAGGUUCUGCCGAAGUGCUCGUCUGCUCUUUGCACAGAGUCUCUUGUUGCUUGAGCUACAUGUCUUUGACAAUAAAAAUAAUAUAAUUUAUUGAACGUUUAAAGCAUUCU
Long non-coding RNA from Brienomyrus brachyistius, 449 nucleotides. RefSeq lists it as uncharacterized. NCBI's taxonomy places the organism in Eukaryota, Metazoa, Chordata, Actinopteri, Osteoglossiformes, Mormyridae. The record is from RefSeq and is a predicted model, not a curated record. The transcript has 5 exons.